AUGGAGGUGCGGAAGCUGCCGGGGAAGAAGAACCGGCGGCUGGUGCGCGCGCGGGUGCGGGUGGGCGCGCCGCUCCAGGCCGUCUGGGCCACGCUCACCGACUACGAGGGCCUCGCCGGAUUCAUCCCCGGCCUCUCCGAGUGCCGCCUCCUCCACCAGGACAAGGCCUUCGCCCGCCUCUACCAGGUUGAUGGUGCCACUGAUGAAGGUGCAGAAGUUUCAUCGGGGCAGGAAUUUCAGACCACGCUUUCGUAUGUGGUGGAGCUGGAGCCUAAGCUCUGGGUUCCGGUCCGGCUGCUGGAAGGGAGGAUCUGCAAGGAGAUCAAAACCAACCUUAUUUGUAUCCGAGAAGAAGCAGAGAGGAUCCAAAGGUUACUGGACGAGUGUCAUGUAUUUUCAGUGAUAACUAGGAUGAACCCUGAAGGCUUUCUUACAAUGCCGUUAUUGAUUAUAGUUCUGUGUAUGCUCCUUAACAGAGAGUGCCACAAGGGGGAGCUUGAGGUGCUCCUGGAGUCCCGGGAGCGCCGCCGGGAGAUCGCCUUCAACAUUGUCGACGGCGAUUUCAAGGUACUCGAGGGCAAAUGGUGUGUCCAGGAGGUCGAUGCUACUACUGACGAAGGCGGGGAAGUUCUGAUUGGCCAGGAAUUUCAGACUAGGCUUUCUUAUGUGGUGGAGCUGGAGCCUAAGCUCUGGGUUCCAGUCCGGCUACUGGAAGGAAGGAUUUGCGAAGAGAUCAAAACCAACCUUGUUUGUAUCAGAGAAGAAGCAGAGAGGGUCCAAAGAUCACUGAAGCAAACUGAGCUGUCGGUUUUCUUGUUCCAACAGUGA
This 828-nucleotide ribosomal RNA is filed under the name Triticum aestivum (bread wheat). RNAcentral's name for it is "partial small subunit ribosomal RNA". The record is from RNAcentral. Lineage: Eukaryota; Viridiplantae; Streptophyta; Magnoliopsida; Poales; Poaceae.